CGCCGCGCCUCUCGCCUCCUCGCCGCGCUAUGCCUGGUCCGCUCCUCCUCCUCUCUUCGACCGGGCCACGCCUUCGCCCUCCUCGCCGCGCUCUGACCGGUCUGCGCGACUGCGCCUCCUCCACUCUUCGUCCGGGCCGAGCCUUUCUCCUCCUCGCCGUGCUCGGGCCGGUCUGCUGCUCCUCCACUCUUCGUCCGGGUCGUGCCGUUCUCCUCCUCGCCACGCUCUGCCCGGUUUGCUCCUCCUCCUCCUCCUCUCUUCGUCCGGGUUUGCCUGCCUCUGUCCUCCUCGAGUCGCAUUUUAUCUUGCUCGUCCUCGCUCGAUCGAUUCGACCGUUUAGAAUCGCUGGAUUUGGUUUUGCUCGUCCUCGCCGUCGCCAGUUUAGAUAGAGAAUCCCACCUGAUUUGAUUUUGCUCGUUCUCGCCGCCGUUCGUCCGUGUAGAGUCUCGUCUGAUUUCACUUUGCUCGUGCUCGAUUUGUCAGUUUAGAAUCGCUUCUGAUAUGAUUCCGUUCGUCCUUGCCAUCGUCAGUUUAGAGUCGCGUCUGAUUUGAUUCUGCCCGUCCUCGUUGUCGCCCCGAUGCGCUCGCGUGUUCUUGGUCCGUCUCGUCGAGGGUCUCCGCCUGGUUUGCGACUGAAAAGUUUCUGUGUGCGCUUCUGUUAUCUGAGAGACACUUUGCCUUUGGGUCAUGCGUUUCGUGUUCGUGUCAGCGCGAGUGUUACAGGAACGGUCGGGUCUUGGUUUUGAAAUUGGAUUAUGGGCGGAGAUGGGGAGACAGGGAGCAAUUAUUAUUUUGUCGUGCUAGUUCAGCUCGGUUCCUAGUCCAUGUCACCUUUUGCCUUGUUCAUCAGUUUUUUCAGAUCUCAAACGACUAUGCUUGUUCGUGUUCGUCCGUCAGAGAUGUGCCCUUUGAUAAUCUGGUUCCUCUGUCGAUUCUGUGAUUGUGCCGGCUAGCUUGUUCCACUUUGGGCAGGCGUGUGUGCUCUCAUCCCAGAUGCAGGGGUGAUUCCUUACGGUUCUUCUGAUGGGUGUUACUGCUUCUGCUCUUUUCAAUCCGUUAUUACUUCCAAUCAUGCUUUGCUUAUGUUCCGAUAUAUGGUGAUGUGUGUUCAGGGGUGCAAAUCAUGUAGGCCGUGGAUGCCAUUUCUUGCAGGCAGGCAGAGCAGAGUGCAAACCAUGUGGCCUGCUGCCUGACUAAUUGAACACCUGCUGCUGCUACUGUUGGACAAGGUUUCCUUCUGUUGCUAUUUCCAUUUUCAUACGAGUACUAGAUGAGGUGCUGCUAGUUAGUCCCCCCUACACUUCGUUCUAGAUUGCAUAGCAUAACUCCAGAAUUAUUUCAUUGACACCUGGGCAUAUAAUUCUGUUGUGAGCGGAAUUUAUUUAUCUGUGAAAGCACGUUCAUCACAUGUUUUUUAUCAAUGCUGCUCACUUUUGUCAUGUCCCUUUUGUUUGUCCUGUUAAAUUUUAUGGCAUCAACUUGGAGCAAAUUUUUUUACUCACUGGUUAAAAUAUCGAGAAUGCUGACUUCUGUAUUUGUCGCUAUGUAAGCCAUGCACUUGUGAAGCCUGGGCGUGAUUAGGAUUUGGAUUGCAUAUAGAUUUUAUGCUAUGUUUGUUUAUAACCUGGUUGUGAUCUAAUAUACUGUAAAUCUGCUAAUUUUUUAAUUUAAUUUAUGUUCAACACAAGUAAACAUUUAUUUAGCCAAAUUUUGCUACUUCUGAGAACUUUGUUUUUAGAUGUGUUGUAGCCAUAACUGCCUAUUCUGAUAUUUGCAUGGAUCUUUCUAUAUAAGGUCAUUGGCAUGUCAUGUUGUGACCUACAUACCUUUGUGGUUGGCAGCAUCUUUGCCCUUUGAUUCUGCUUUUCCUUGCUGUUGUCCGUUUGGAUAGAGUCGCUUUUGAUUAGAUUUUUAUCGUCCUCAUUGUUGCCCUGAUGCGCUCGCAUGUUCUUGGGUCGUCUCGUCUCGGGUAUCUGUCUGGUUUGUGAACUAAAAUUUCUCUUUGAGAAAUUUCUACGUCUGUUUCUGUUAUCUUAGACAUUCCAGAUCAUGUGUUCUGUGUUCGCGUCGGCGUGAGGGUUGUAAGAACGAUCGGGUCUAGUUUCGAAAUUGGAGGGACCAAUGUCAGUUUGUCGUGCUAGUUCAAAUCGGUUUCACUUUCUGGAACUUCUUUAUAGCUUUCUGAAUUUAUACUUCGGUCUUGCAUGUAGCUUUCUGUUUGUACCCCUAUCUAUGUUUGUUUGUGUAUGUGUGAUGUGCCCCUAUAUAUGUAUGUUUCUUUGUCCGCUUCAUAUGUGCAAGCGCUCCAUUGGCUGUGUGUGACUGUGUGGUUGACUGUUGUGCUUAGAUGGGGUGAUUCUGAUUGUGUUACUGCUUAUAUGGUCUGUCCAAUUGGUUUCUUCUUCAUGCUUUGCUUGUGUUCCAAUGUCGUCUCCCCAUUAUAUGGGAUGCAAACCAUGUAGGCCGUUUCGAGCAGGCAGGGAUCCAGAGACGUGCACUGGUCAGGCUUCUCUCCUGGUUGAUAGAUGAUGAUAGGCUAAGCAGGAAAGUUUGACUCUUGUAACACUCACUUGCUUGGCUUCCACUCCUUUGUGUGGCGGAUUUGGCAUCCAAUGCAUCCCAUGCCUAUCUUAUUUAUCUCACUCACUCAUCACAACACCCGUUUCCCUGUUUUUGUUCCUUAUUUUUCUUAUCAUAAUAAUCAUGUUUACCGUGGUGUUUGACAAUACAGUUUUUGUGAUAUCUAUGUUUCGUUAUGUCUUAUGUGGAUAUCAUAUUCUUUUUUUGUAUUAUUGAUGUCCAGUCAUUGGAAUAAUGCUUUUUCUAAGUAUUUCAGGUAGGAUAUAGACAAAUGUCACAUUUGCUCUUCCUUGUGUUGCUAAGGACACUGAUGGGUUGGGUUUGCUUACAGCGCGGGACAGAUAAUUCUAUUGGAAUAUUUCUUUGAGAAAGAAGUUAGAUGUCUAUGGCACCAGCAAUAUUUUGGCAAUUCCAAGACUAAUUGGUCAUGAUGACUUCAAGCAUAAAUAGAAGACAGCUGAUUCUGAGGGCCAUCUUGAUCUGAACAGCUCAUUAUUCUAAUUUUAGCUCACCUCUACAGUCAUACAAACUGGCAUGCCGAGGACUGCUCAGGGUUCCUUUCGCUUUCUGUUUUACCAACCGAGUGGGCUCUUUAGGUUCAUCUUGUGACACAAAAUACAAUAUUGGUACGUGCAGACUCUGAAAUUUGGUGAUAAAGAAAAGCUGAAUUAUUUCCGGAUAGGACAGAGGUGCAGUGUUUACAUCCAUGGCACAAGGUUAUUUAACAGUGUAUGCUGAAUUAUUUCCGGGUAGGACAGAGAUGCAGUGUUUACAUCCAUGGCAGAAGGUUCUUUAACAGUGCAUCAAACGUCCUUGGACUCAAGAGGAAGAUGACAAAAUUAUUGACCUUGUAAACAACUAUGGACCACCAGAAUGAUCUCAUUGCAAGGUCAGCUACCAGAACUUCUUGCUGCUGAUCCUGGGAUGUUUCUGAACAUGCUCCCAAACAUGUUCAAUUUAUCCGCCCUAGGACAGCCACUGCCAUGACACAGCAGGCUACUCGGCAUGCUCGGCGUGUUUACCUCGGUGGACUUCCUCCAAUCGCUAAUGAACAGACGGUUGCUCUAUUCUUCAAUCAAGUUAUGACCGCUAUUGGGGGAGACACAUUUGAUCCAGGUGAUGCAGUUCUUAAUAUGAAGCUGAUUUUUGAAUUCAUACAAAACAUCUUAGGUGGCAUAAUCAUCUAACUCUGUGUGCGUGACUGACUGACUGUGUGUGUCUGUGGCUGUGUAUGUUUUGUGUGUGUGACUGACUGUGUGUGUGUUCUAUGUCUUGUGUGUGUGACUGACUGACUGUGUGUGUGACUGUGACUAUGUGUGUUGGCUGACUCUGCGUGUGACUGUCACUCUAUGUGUUGGCUGACUCUGUGUGUCACUG
This is a long non-coding RNA of Triticum aestivum (bread wheat), 3957 nucleotides long. RefSeq lists it as uncharacterized. The transcript has 10 exons. The record is from RefSeq and is a predicted model, not a curated record. NCBI's taxonomy places the organism in Eukaryota, Viridiplantae, Streptophyta, Magnoliopsida, Poales, Poaceae.